GAAAUGCGAUAAGUAAUGCGAAUUGCAGAAUUCAGUGAAUCAUCGAAUCUUUGAACGCACAUUGCGCCCGCUAGUAUUCUGGCGGGCAUGCCUGUCUGAGCGUCAUUUCAACCCUCAUUCCCGGCUUCGUGUCGGGGAUGGUGUUGGGGAUCGGCCUCCCGGUUGCGGGCGGCCGGCCCCGAAAUAGAGUGGCGACCACGCCGUAGCCUCCUCUGCGUAGUAGUGAAAACCUCGCAGGCGGAGAGUGGUGCGGCCUGCCGUAAAACCCCCAACUCUUCUAAGGUUGACCUCAGAUCAGGUAGGAAUACCCGCUGAACUUAAGA
Molecule: unclassified non-coding RNA, 323 nt
Filed under: plant metagenome
Description: partial contains 5.8S ribosomal RNA, internal transcribed spacer 2, and large subunit ribosomal RNA
Rfam family: 5.8S ribosomal RNA (bases 1-105)
Source: RNAcentral